UCAUGUCCCUUCAAUUUUGACUCGAUCAAGAAUCACUCUCCAAAAAAUCCCAAAAAUGUAUACAACAAUUUGGUAUUCACACAGGUCUCACGCAUAUCACAAUCCUUAGUAUUAUUAUGCAAAUCAACCAAUUGAUUUCAGUUCGUGUUGAUUCGGGAUUUAUCACAGUUCCGAAACGUCGUUGGUUUAUGGUUUCCAUCAAGACUCAACAAGUAGGCUAUUCAUCUAAGUCUUGUGAGAUUCUCAAACCAAGAAAUGAACUCAUUCACACUCCUCGCCACAUUACUCGCUCGAUCAAUGUUUUGUCACAAUGGAAAGAUUUCGACGACUGUCCAUUAAAUGCAGGAGGCGUGCGCACAAACACCGAAUGUCUGGGGAAGGAGACCCACAUGAAUGACACUGGUUUGAGGAUCUUCAGUGCUUAGUUUGGGUAAUUUGGACCUCUUAAAAGACAUUUAUCUCUUGUGCGAUAUUACACCAAUGAGUAAUCUCUGUUGUGCAAGCUUCUGUUGCAAUAUGACAAUUACUUGAAAUUGGAUUGAAUUUAAAUUGGUUAAGGCAACUGUCA
Long non-coding RNA from Olea europaea var. sylvestris, 568 nucleotides. RefSeq lists it as uncharacterized. Lineage: Eukaryota; Viridiplantae; Streptophyta; Magnoliopsida; Lamiales; Oleaceae. The record is from RefSeq and is a predicted model, not a curated record. The transcript has 2 exons.